AGUCCAUGGUGCGGGCAAUAUCGAAGUAAGUCCUUGUACCUCUCCUAGGCAUCAUACAUGCUCUCGUCCUCGAACUGCACAAAAGAAGAUAUGUCAUUUCUCAAUCU
RNAcentral lists this small nucleolar RNA (107 nucleotides) under Ricinus communis (castor bean). RNAcentral describes it as "Plant small nucleolar RNA R71". It matches the Rfam family "Plant small nucleolar RNA R71". From Rfam's summary of the family: R71 is a member of the C/D box family of snoRNAs containing the C (UGAUGA) and D (CUGA) box motifs. Multiple nearly identical copies of this snoRNA have been identified in Arabidopsis, and it is thought to function as a 2'-O-ribose methylation guide for 18S ribosomal RNA. Lineage: Eukaryota; Viridiplantae; Streptophyta; Magnoliopsida; Malpighiales; Euphorbiaceae. The record is from Rfam by way of RNAcentral.